Molecule: ribosomal RNA, 468 nt
Filed under: uncultured bacterium
Lineage: Bacteria
Description: partial 16S ribosomal RNA
Rfam family: Bacterial small subunit ribosomal RNA
Source: RNAcentral
GACGAACGCUGGCGGCGUGCUUAACACAUGCAAGUCGAACGGAAAGGCCCUGCUUUUGUGGGGUGCUCGAGUGGCGAAUGGGUGAGUAACACGUGAGUAACCUGCCCUUGACUUUGGGAUAACUUCAGGAAACUGGGGCUAAUACCGGAUAGGAGCUCCUGCUGCAUGGUGGGGGUUGGAAAGUUUCGGCGGUUGGGGAUGGACUCGCGGCUUAUCAGCUUGUUGGUGGGGUAGUGGCUUACCAAGGCUUUGACGGGUAGCCGGCCUGAGAGGGUGACCGGCCACAUUGGGACUGAGAUACGGCCCAGACUCCUACGGGAGGCAGCAGUGGGGAAUAUUGCACAAUGGGCGGAAGCCUGAUGCAGCAACGCCGCGUGCGGGAUGACGGCCUUCGGGUUGUAAACCGCUUUCGCCUGUGCCGAAGCGUGAGUGACGGUAAUGGGUAAAGAAGCACCGGCUAACUACGUG